This is a long non-coding RNA of Bos indicus x Bos taurus (hybrid cattle), 487 nucleotides long. Lineage: Eukaryota; Metazoa; Chordata; Mammalia; Artiodactyla; Bovidae. The record is from Ensembl.
AGCCCAUGUCUGAUUCUGCCAUCUUUGACCUCAGACCAUUUUCAGCAUAAGCUGGUGGAGCAAUUAAUUCUGACAGGACCAUUUCUAUGACCUACUGACCCUGUCAACUGUUCCAGGUAACCCCAGAGAUCAGAGCGGCUGCCCUGCACUGGUUUGGUCUAUGUUGCCACCUUGAAGAAGGUGUGGGAGUUUUCUGCCAGCAUCGUAUCUUUCUCCUGGAGACCAGGAAAGACUUGUGAUGACCCAGGAUCUGGCAAAGUCCCUGCCACUCAGAGGCGAUUCAUGUUUUCACCAGUGAUGCCGCCAGCUGACAGCCACCUUCAACUGCUAGACAGACGAGCCUUCAGAUGAUUCCAGCCUCCAGCCUUCAAGUCCUCUAGCUGAGGCCUGCAACACUGAAGGGCAGAGACAAGGUGUGCUUGGUGUACUAUAUCCAAAUUCUUGACCCACGGAUUCUUUGAGCAUAAUAAAUGUUUUUACCGCAUCA